GAUGAACGCUGGCGGCGUGCCUAAUACAUGCAAGUCGAGCGAACAGACGAGGAGCUUGCUCCUCUGACGUUAGCGGCGGACGGGUGAGUAACACGUGGAUAACCUACCUAUAGACUGGGAUAACUUCGGGAAACCGGAGCUAAUACCGGAUAACAUGUUGAACCGCAUGGUUCAACAGUGAAAGACGGUCUUGCUGUCACUUAUAGAUGGAUCCGCGCCGCAUUAGCUAGUUGGUAAGGUAACGGCUUACCAAGGCAACGAUGCGUAGCCGACCUGAGAGGGUGAUCGGCCACACUGGAACUGAGACACGGUCCAGACUCCUACGGGAGGCAGCAGUAGGGAAUCUUCCGCAAUGGGCGAAAGCCUGACGGAGCAACGCCGCGUGAGCGAAGAAGGUCUUCGGAUCGUAAAACUCUGUUAUUAGGGAAGAACAAAUGUGUAAGUAACUAUGCACGUCUUGACGGUACCUAAUCAGAAAGCCACGGCUAACUACGUG
RNAcentral lists this ribosomal RNA (496 nucleotides) under uncultured bacterium. RNAcentral's name for it is "partial 16S ribosomal RNA". It matches the Rfam family "Bacterial small subunit ribosomal RNA", at positions 28 to 507 of the family's 1533-position model. The record is from RNAcentral.